CCUACACCUUUCAUACGUUAUAUGCGAGAUGGUUUCAUGUAUUAUAUAACCCAUAACCAUAACAAAUACAUGAAAAAAACUCAAGUCUCAUAUGAAGUUGUAGAAAAACCAUAACCAUAACCUGCAUCUUUCAUAUGUUAUAUGCGAGAUAGUUUCAUGUAUAACCUAAACAAAUACAUGAAAAAAACUCAAGUCUCAUAUGAAGAUGUAGACAACAA
RNAcentral lists this long non-coding RNA (218 nucleotides) under Trifolium pratense (red clover). RNAcentral describes it as "long non-coding RNA (TPRA_LNC009696)". Lineage: Eukaryota; Viridiplantae; Streptophyta; Magnoliopsida; Fabales; Fabaceae. The record is from RNAcentral.